RNAcentral lists this ribosomal RNA (396 nucleotides) under uncultured bacterium. RNAcentral's name for it is "partial 16S ribosomal RNA". It matches the Rfam family "Bacterial small subunit ribosomal RNA", at positions 523 to 918 of the family's 1533-position model. The record is from RNAcentral.
AUACGGAGGUGACAAGCGUUAUCCGGAUUUACUGGGCGUAAAGGGCGUGUAGGCGGUCUUGCAAGUCAGAAGUGAAAUUCCUGAGCUCAACUCGGGCGCUGCUUCUGAAACUGCAGGACUUGAGUGCUGGAGGGGGUAGCGGAAUUCCUAGUGGAGCGGUAAAAUGCGCAGAUAUUAGGAAGAACACCGGUGGCGAAGGCGGCUAUCUGGACAGUAACUGACGCUGAGGCGCGAAAGCGUGGGGAGCAAACAGGAUUAGAUACCCUGGUAGUCCACGCUGUAAACGAUGAUUACUAGGUGUGGGGGGACUGACCCCUUCCGUGCCGCAGUUAACACAAUAAGUAUUCCGCCUGGGGAGUACGGCCGCAAGGUUGAAACUCAAAUGAAUGGACGGGG